This 77-nucleotide transfer RNA is filed under the name Klebsiella michiganensis. RNAcentral's name for it is "tRNA-Ala(ggc)". It matches the Rfam family "tRNA". Rfam says of the family: Transfer RNA (tRNA) molecules are approximately 80 nucleotides in length. Their secondary structure includes four short double-helical elements and three loops (D, anti-codon, and T loops). The record is from RNAcentral. Lineage: Bacteria; Pseudomonadati; Pseudomonadota; Gammaproteobacteria; Enterobacterales; Enterobacteriaceae.
GGGGCUAUAGCUCAGCUGGGAGAGCGCUUGCAUGGCAUGCAAGAGGUCAGCGGGUUCGAUCCCGCUUAGCUCCACCA